This 225-nucleotide long non-coding RNA is filed under the name Setaria italica (foxtail millet). Its description in RNAcentral is "long non-coding RNA (SITA_LNC004401)". The record is from RNAcentral. Lineage: Eukaryota; Viridiplantae; Streptophyta; Magnoliopsida; Poales; Poaceae.
GUAAACAAAAAACAAGUGUGUUUAGAUACCCCAAUACCUACCUUUCUGCUCAAAACUUAGCUCCAUAUAAAAGAAAACAUAUUACUUGAUUUCAGGCUCAAAUUAUAUUACUUUUUGGAUGAAAUGUCAUUUCUAAACGACUACAUGCUUAAAUUGUAACAAUAUGAAAACUAUGUAUGUUUUCAGGUCAGAUUCGGCCAUCGGAAUGGACCUUUAUAAUACACU